GAUGAACGCUGGCGGCGUGCCUAAUACAUGCGAGUCGAGCGAACGGACGAGAAACUUGCUUCUCUGAUGUUAGCGGCGGACGGGUGAGUAACACGUGGAUAACCUACCUAUAAGACUGGGAUAACUUCGGGAAACCGGAGCUAAUACCGGAUAAUAUUUUGAACCGCAUGGUUCAAAAGUGAAAGACGGUCUUGCUGUCACUUAUAGAUGGAUCCGCGCUGCAUUAGCUAGUUGGUAAGGUAACGGCUUACCAAGGCAACGAUGCAUAGCCGACCUGAGAGGGUGAUCGGCCACACUGGAACUGAGACACGGUCCAGACUCCUACGGGAGGCAGCAGUAGGGAAUCUUCCGCAAUGGGCGAAAGCCUGACGGAGCAACGCCGCGUGAGUGAUGAAGGUCUUCGGAUCGUAAAACUCUGUUAUUAGGGAAGAACAUAUGUGUAAGUAACUGUGCACAUCUUGACGGUACCUAAUCAGAAAGCCACGGCUAACUACGUG
Molecule: ribosomal RNA, 497 nt
Filed under: uncultured bacterium
Lineage: Bacteria
Description: partial 16S ribosomal RNA
Rfam family: Bacterial small subunit ribosomal RNA
Source: RNAcentral